RNAcentral lists this small RNA (37 nucleotides) under Arabidopsis thaliana (thale cress). Its description in RNAcentral is "ATSL293240". Lineage: Eukaryota; Viridiplantae; Streptophyta; Magnoliopsida; Brassicales; Brassicaceae. The record is from RNAcentral.
AAUAUUAGUUGUUUUCAAGUUUCUAUACAAAUUAUAU